AUUGAACGCUGGCGGCAGGCUUAACACAUGCAAGUCGAGCGGUAACAGAGAGAAGCUUGCUUCUCUGCUGACGAGCGGCGGACGGGUGAGUAAUGCCUAGGAAUCUGCCUAGUAGUGGGGGAUAACUUGCCGAAAGGUAAGCUAAUACCGCAUACGUCCUACGGGAGAAAGGAGGGGACCUUCGGGCCUUUCGCUAUUAGAUGAGCCUAGGUCGGAUUAGUUAGUUGGUGAAGUAAUGGCUCACCAAGACCGCGAUCCGUAACUGGUCUGAGAGGAUGAUCAGUCACACUGGAACUGAGACACGGUCCAGACUCCUACGGGAGGCAGCAGUGGGGAAUAUUGGGCAAUGGGGGGAACCCUGAUCCAGCCAUGCCGCGUGUGUGAAGAAGGUCUUAGGAUUGUAAAGCACUUUAAGUUGGGAGGAAGAGCAGUUAAUUAAUAUUUGACUGUUUUGACGUUACCGACAGAAUAAGCACCGGCUAACUUCGUGCCAGCCGCCGCAGUAA
RNAcentral lists this ribosomal RNA (506 nucleotides) under uncultured bacterium. RNAcentral describes it as "partial 16S ribosomal RNA". It matches the Rfam family "Bacterial small subunit ribosomal RNA", at positions 30 to 523 of the family's 1533-position model. The record is from RNAcentral.